Arachis duranensis is the source of this 1386-nucleotide long non-coding RNA. RefSeq lists it as uncharacterized. The transcript is spliced from 2 exons. Lineage: Eukaryota; Viridiplantae; Streptophyta; Magnoliopsida; Fabales; Fabaceae. The record is from RefSeq and is a predicted model, not a curated record.
ACAAAAAAUACAUACAUUUAGAAAGGGGAAGAACGAAAACAUGGAAAGCUUGAGGGGAAUAAAAGAGAUAGAGAAGGAGAAGGGGGAAUCGAGGGAGAAGAGAGGGGAUGGAAGUUGCAACGCCCUGCACACUCGUCGCUGCCGUUCCGUGUAGUCCGCCCUGGUGCUGGUUGAACAGGGAUGAGGGAGAGGCGUCGAGAGAGAGACACGAUGGAGGUUAGAGGGUAGAGCUGCCAUCACUGCCGUCGCGUCCAUGGAUCCCGAGCUCGCGUUGCCAUCUUUGAUCUUCAGCGCCGCCGUGGAGGAGAAUAGAGGAGUCACCAUCGCUGGAGAGAGGGAGAGCCAGAGAAGGAAGACGAAACGUGUGAGAAGGAUGACACACAGAGGAGGAAUCGUUCCUCUGCCGACGCCAUCGCCAGAAUUUCUGGCUGCUGCUGUUGUUUAUAAUGAGUUAAUCGUGCCUAGCUACCAUAAUCACCACCAUUUCUGAGCUCUCAUUGUUCUGUAACAUUCUGUAAUUGCCUCUGAUGUUCUUGGCUCUGUUGGGAUUGCUGGAACUUGUUACUGGCGAAGAGGAGUGACUGCACCAUCCUCUUCAUUUUGACACUAAACCUCUAUUCAUAACCUUAGAUAUUAGAUAUCAUAAUUGAAAUAAGAACAUACAGAGAAAUAAAAUACCAAACGGAACAAGAGCGAGAGCGUUACAGGACUAUGAAUAGAGGUUUAAGGUAAAAACGAAGAGGAUGGUGCAGUCAUCCGCCGGUGAUAAGUUCCAACUAUAACAAUUCCGGCAAACCCAACAGAGUCAAGAACAUCAGAGGUAAUUACAGGAUGUUAUAGAACAAUAAAAGCUUUAGUACACGUAUUUAGAAUAGUACAUAUAUUGUGAGGUUGUGAUGUCAUAAACUUCUCUUCUUAUGUUUUUUAGAGGCUAUGAAUUAUCUUUUAGGUUAAAUUGAUUUAAAAAAAUAAAUUGUUAUUAUCAUUAUUUGUUUGAUAUUUCAUUGUGGUAUCAUAUUUUUAAAUUUAUGACGUCACUACAAUUAAAUCAUUAAAGCCUUUGAAAUUAACCGCACAUUAUUAUUUCUUUUUUUUUUUCGUUGUUGGUCAUGGGCUCAUAGCCACCCGUUAUUACAAACACAAAGAAGAAUAGGCAGAUACAAAUUUUGUGAGAAAAUAACAAAGAGACUCAAAACAGAAAGGGUCCAAAAAUUAUCUACUUACGCAAUGCAGUCUAGUUAAAGGACCAAAUAAAUGCCCUCUUGUGCUACCUAUGUAUGCCCCAUGAGCCAAACCCAAAAAAAAAUGUAUGCCCCAUGAGUCAUGUCUCUCUCCUCAAACUCCGUUUGAAACAAUGCCUAAGAUUAAAGACCGUCCAAUUUAACC